UUCUUUCACAUUAAGUACUGUACUAGUAAAUAUGUGAAAUGACAAACUCACUUUGAAGGUUGUCUUUUACAACUGUGGAUUGCCAACAUGUAACAAAUUGUACUAAAGCUUCACAUCAUACAGUGAAAUAAUAUAUAGUGGAAACACGCCAAAUGUGUACACUCAUAUAGGAUUAGAGCAUGAGCUUAUCGAUCUAUUCUGCUGUAGAUAUUGACUAUUGUAAUAAUUUUGUGAAAACAACAGGUUUGCGAAUUUAAGCUAGUUUUCAGGAUGAAAUUGUCAAAUGUGAAACAGAAAUUUCCUACUACAAGGUAGUUAGUGUCUGUUUCUUCAUGUUAGCAACUUGUCCACAAUUAUUUCAGGGAGACACUACAGCUUGUAUUUGAUAUUCAAUUACUACUUAUAUGACAAUGGAUUUAGAAAGGUUUGUCAUCAAAGGUUUCUUAUUUUAAGAUUUAAAAAAAAAACAACCCAUUUUUGCAAACUUUAAUUGUCAUGUGUUUGGCUAUAUUUCCUAGCACUAGAUUGAUUGGUUGUUGUUUCCACAUCAGUGACAUCAUCAGUGACAAUAAACCAAUUAAGUUGUCAAUCUUCAGUGUUUGUAUGAAAUUUCAGUUAUACAAAUAUCAAUUUAAAAAGAAAUAUUUUCAUGAACAUCUAGGAGAUUGAUGAAACCACUUACCAGUGUGUAUCAUAAAAAUAUAUUGAGCCUGCCAAAGGCUGACUUAUAACAGCAUCAUCUAGACUCAUUCCGUUGAAUACUGGUAACUUCAAAGUACUAGAGUUAUCUUUCUUUGUGUAUAUGCCUAAUGCUAUUUAUUGUCUUUUUUGUUUCUUGCUCACCCAUUUCCCUGGUGCAGGUUUAGAAAAUAAACAAUUGGAGGUUCACUGGGGGGAAAAAACUCAAGCUGGCUAAACCCUAAAUAUAAUUUUCAAUGUGUAUCUAUUUCAAAUGAAAAUAAUAAUAUUCAAUUUAAAACAAUUUUACAAUACUAUUCAGGUAUAAUUUCAUAUUUGCCAAUUAUGGGUGUACUGUUUGUGAAUUGCUUGUUUACUUCCAAAGAUCAGAACAGGUUGUUUUUUUGUGUAUUCUAUAAACUACCUAUUCAAUAAGCCUAAAUUUCAUACAAUUAUUAUGGUGUUUACAAUUGUUGGAGAUUUCGUAUAGGAAAGCAGUACAAGAUUUUAAAGCAUGGUCUCAAUUUCAAUAUGUUGAUCCCUCCAUUGUCAGGUCUUUCAAGACAGAAUUUGCGGGACAUGUACAAUUAUAUAAGAUGUAAACAGUCUGUCACCCUUGAUAUCUCUGACGUCCUGUCUGAGGGUGACAUGUUUGGGUGUCUCAUAUGUGUUAUGUCCUGUCAAAGGGCGACACAUGUGUGAUGUCCUGUGCAGGUGACACAUGUGUGUUAUGUCCUGUGCAGGUGUCACAUGUAAGUGAUGUCCUGUCUGGGGGUCACAUGUGUGUUAUGUCCUGUGCAGGUGUCACAUGUAAGUGAUGUCCUGUCCAGGGGUCACAUGUGUGUUAUGUCCUGUGCAGGUGACACAUGUGUGUUAUGUCCUGUGUAGGUGUCACAUGUAAGUGAUGUCCUGUCCGGGGGUCACAUGUGUGUUAUGUUCUGCUGGGGUGACACACAUUUACGAUAUCCUGUCUGGGGUUCACACGUGCUGUGGAGGUGUGUCAUGUUAGAUAUAGGUACAAUACAUACCGUUGUUGUUGUUUUUAAUGUUAAAUGUGUAAAUUGUGAAAAUAUGUGAUAUUUUUUCCUUUGUUAUUAUAUAUCAAUUACAAAGUUAAUUAAUUUUCUGUAUGUAUGAUCAGAUCAAUAAACUGAUAUGGACACUAAA
Long non-coding RNA from Mizuhopecten yessoensis (Yesso scallop), 1845 nucleotides. RefSeq lists it as uncharacterized. The transcript has 2 exons. Lineage: Eukaryota; Metazoa; Mollusca; Bivalvia; Pectinida; Pectinidae. The record is from RefSeq and is a predicted model, not a curated record.